Molecule: ribosomal RNA, 420 nt
Filed under: uncultured bacterium
Lineage: Bacteria
Description: bacterial SSU rRNA
Rfam family: Bacterial small subunit ribosomal RNA
Source: RNAcentral
UGGGGAAUAUUGGGCAAUGGGCGAAAGCCUGACCCAGCAACGCCGCGUGAAGGAAGAAGGUCUUCGGAUUGUAAACUUCUUUUAUGAGGGACGAAGGACGUGACGGUACCUCAUGAAUAAGCCACGGCUAACUACGUGCCAGCAGCCGCGGUAAUACGUAGGUGGCAAGCGUUAUCCGGAUUUACUGGGUGUAAAGGGCGCGUAGGCGGGGAUGCAAGUCAGAUGUGAAAUCUAUGGGCUCAACCCAUAAACUGCAUUUGAAACUGUAUCUCUUGAGUGCUGGAGAGGUAGAUGGAAAUUCCUUGUGUAGCGGUGAAAUGCGUAGAUAUAAGGAAGAACACCAGUGGCGAAGGCGAUCUACUGGACAGUAAACUGACGCUGAGGCGCGAGAGCGUGGGAGCAAACAAGGAUUAGAUACCC